CAUAUAAAUAUAACUAUGUAUUUAUGUAGAAGAAAAUAGGAACGGAAAAAGAAAAGAAGGAAGAGUGAAGUAUGUUUUUUUGUUUGUUUCUCCCUUU
Molecule: non-coding RNA, 97 nt
Filed under: uncultured Nitzschia
Lineage: Eukaryota; Bacillariophyta; Bacillariophyceae; Bacillariales; Bacillariaceae
Source: RNAcentral